Molecule: ribosomal RNA, 965 nt
Filed under: Veillonella sp.
Lineage: Bacteria; Bacillati; Bacillota; Negativicutes; Veillonellales; Veillonellaceae
Description: partial 23S ribosomal RNA
Rfam family: Bacterial large subunit ribosomal RNA
Source: RNAcentral
AGUAAAGAUUUUAAGGGCGUACGGUGGAUGCCUUGGCGAUAUCAGCCGAAGAAGGACGCGGUAAGCUGCGAUAAGCUACGGAGAGAUGCAAGCAAUCUUUGACCCGUAGAUUUCCGAAUGGGGGAACCCGGCAGUGGUUAUGCACUGUCACCCAUAGCUUAGACUAUGAGGAGGGCACCUGGGGAACUGAAACAUCUAAUUACCCAGAGGAAAAGUAAUCAAACGAGAUUUUCUUAGUAGCGGCGAGCGAACGGGAAAGAGGCCAAACCGGAGCGGGCAACCGCACCGGGGUUGAGGACAGUCAUCAAGUGUUGGGACUGUAUCCAGAGUACCACGAGACACGUGAAACCUUGUGGGAAGCAGGGGGGACCACCCUCCAAGCCAAAAUACUGAUAUCGACCGAUAGCGCAUAGUACCGUGAGGGAAAGGUGAAAAGAACCCCUGGCGGGGAGUGAAAGAGAACCUGAAACCGUAUGUCUACAAACAGUCGAAGUCUGUAUAUAUAUCAGGACGACGGCGUGCCUAUUGAAGAAUGAACCGACGAGUUACUGUUGCUAGCGAGGUUAAGUGGAAAACAUGGAGCCGCAGCGAAAGCGAGUCUGAACAGGGCGUUCAGUUAGUGAUAGUAGACCCGAAACCGUAGUGAUCUAUCCAUGGCCAGGUUGAAGCACAGGUAAAAUUGUGUGGAGGACCGAACUCGUGAGCGUUGAAAAGCUUUGGGAUGAGUUGUGGAUAGGGGUGAAAUGCCAAUCGAACACGGAGAUAGCUGGUUCUCCCCGAAAUAGCUUUAGGGCUAGCCUCGAGGUUGAGAGUAUAGGCGGUAGAGCACUGAUCGGGCUAGGGGCCAUACCGGUUACCGAACCUAGUCAAACUACGAAUGGCUAUACUUAUACUCGGGAGUCAGACAGUGAAUGAUAAGGUCCAUUGUCAAGAGGGAAACAGCCCAGAACACCGACUAAGGUCCC